This is a long non-coding RNA of Solea solea (common sole), 294 nucleotides long. RefSeq lists it as uncharacterized. Lineage: Eukaryota; Metazoa; Chordata; Actinopteri; Pleuronectiformes; Soleidae. The record is from RefSeq and is a predicted model, not a curated record. The transcript has 3 exons.
AUAUCAAAACGUUUUUACUUUUAAACACUUAAAAAUCUAUAUUUUUUCCUUUUUAUGACCGGUGGACUAAUAAAUGUGUUAUCAACAACAUUCUCUGUCCUGCUGGUCAUCGCGGACCCGGACUCCAUCAGUCGUCUCGCUCUCCUCUCCGUGUCUGCCUUGUCCAGAAUGUACUCCUGGAAUCGAGACCUCUUGUUACUGGAACAUCAGCUUUGUUUCAGGUUUGCAUCGUGUUAGCCUGUUGAACCAUGGUUGGUUUCCCCACUGGUGGUGAUGUCCCAAAAUGAUGAGAUG